Molecule: ribosomal RNA, 494 nt
Filed under: uncultured bacterium
Lineage: Bacteria
Description: partial 16S ribosomal RNA
Rfam family: Bacterial small subunit ribosomal RNA
Source: RNAcentral
GACGAACGCUGGCGGCGUGCUUAACACAUGCAAGUCGAGCGGUGAGACGACUAGCUUGUUGGUGUGAGUGUAUGAGUGGCGAACGGGGGAGUAACACGUGAAUAAACUUCCCCGUCUUGCUUGAUAACCGCAAGAAAGUGUGACUAAUACGGAAUAUUUUGAGUCGCAUGCAUGAUGAGUCUGGGAAGGAUUUUGUGUCGCUGGUGGAUGGGUUCGCGGCCUAUCAGCUUGUUGGUAAGGUGAUGGCCUACCAAGGCGAUGAGGGGUAGCCGGCCUGAGAGGGUGGACGGCCACGCUGGGAAGACGAGACCGCGACGACUACUGCGGGAGGCAGCAGUGAGUAUUAUUGAAUGAGGGGAGCAAGCCUGAAGCAGCGACGCCGGGUGAGGGAUGGAGGCCUUCGGGUUGUGCUCUUCUUUCGCGAGUGAAGAAGGCUUGCAUCGUCUGUGGGUGGGUUGACGGUAGCUGGACAAAAAGCGACGGCUAACUACGUG